Callithrix jacchus (white-tufted-ear marmoset) is the source of this 103-nucleotide small nuclear RNA. The record is from Ensembl. Lineage: Eukaryota; Metazoa; Chordata; Mammalia; Primates; Cebidae.
GUGCUCACUUUAGCAGCAUAUAUCUAAACACAGAAUACAAAGAAGAUUAGCACGGUUCCCGUGCAAAGAUGACAUGCAAAUUUGUGAAACAUUGCCUACUUUU